Molecule: ribosomal RNA, 423 nt
Filed under: uncultured bacterium
Lineage: Bacteria
Description: partial 16S ribosomal RNA
Rfam family: Bacterial small subunit ribosomal RNA
Source: RNAcentral
GAAUAUUGGACAAUGGGGGGAACCCUGAUCCAGCCAUGCCGCGUGUGUGAAGAAGGCCUUUUGGUUGUAAAGCACUUUAAGCGAGGAGGAGGAGCUCUUGGUUAAUACCCAAGAUGCUUGGACGUUACUCGCAGAAUAAGCACCGGCUAACUCUGUGCCCGCAGCCGCGGUAAUCCCGAGGGUGCAAGCGUUAAUCGGACUGACGGGGCGUAAGCGGGGGGUAGUGGGCAAAUGAAGUAAAAUGGGAAACCCCCGGGCUUAACUUGGGAAUGGCAUUGGAUACUGGUUGGCUAGAGUAGGGGAGAGGAUGGUAGAAUUCCAGGUGUAGCGGGGAAAUGCGUAGAGAUCUGGAGGAAUACCGAUGGCGAAGGCAGCCAUCUGGCCUAAUACUGACACUGAGGUGCGAAGGCAUGGGGAGAAAAC